Molecule: non-coding RNA, 190 nt
Filed under: Gammaproteobacteria bacterium
Lineage: Bacteria; Pseudomonadati; Pseudomonadota; Gammaproteobacteria
Description: 6S RNA
Rfam family: 6S / SsrS RNA
About the family: E. coli 6S RNA was the first non coding RNA to be sequenced, but its function was unknown until recently. It consists of 184 nucleotides that fold into an extended hairpin structure with a large single-stranded internal bulge.
Source: RNAcentral
UGCCCUCUGCGGUGUACGUAAUCGUGCCGGAUACCCUUUGGACCUAUAAGCUACCCUUUGGGAACCGGAGCACUGGCGCCGUUGAGCAAGCCUGCCUCGUAGCAGGAAGCCUGAAGCGCUAACUUGGGUGACCUCAACUUGAACUCUUUGGUUCAAGGCAAAUGGCCGAUACGGCACAGGCGGAGGGCGU